Molecule: ribosomal RNA, 382 nt
Filed under: uncultured bacterium
Lineage: Bacteria
Description: bacterial SSU rRNA
Rfam family: Bacterial small subunit ribosomal RNA
Source: RNAcentral
GAUGAACGCUAGCGGCAGGCUUAACACAUGCAAGUCGAGGGGUAUUGGUUUUCGGACCAAGAGACCGGCGCACGGGUGCGUAACGCGUAUGCAAUCUACCUUUUGCAGAGGGAUAGCCCCAGAGAAAUUUGGAUUAAUACCUCAUAGUAUAGUACUUUGGCAUCAAGGAACUAUUAAAGUCACAACGGCAAAAGAUGAGCAUGCGUCCCAUUAGCUAGUUGGUAAGGUAACGGCUUACCAAGGCUACGAUGGGUAGGGGUCCUGAGAGGGAGAUCCCCCACACUGGUACUGAGACAGGACCCAGACUCCUACGGGAGGCAGCAGUGAGGAAUAUGGACAAAUGGGCGCAAGCCUGAUCCAGCCAUGCCGCGUGCAGGAUGAC